Molecule: non-coding RNA, 21 nt
Filed under: Arabidopsis thaliana (thale cress)
Lineage: Eukaryota; Viridiplantae; Streptophyta; Magnoliopsida; Brassicales; Brassicaceae
Source: RNAcentral
AAAGCUGCCCCGAAGCAGUUA